UNUGACUUGAGUGCAGAAGGGGAGAGUGGAAUUCCAUGUGUAGCGGUGAAAUGCGUAGAUAUAUGGAGGAACACCAGUGGCGAAAGCGGCUCUCUGGUCUGUCACUGACGCUGAGGCUCGAAAGCGUGGGUAGCGAACAGGAUUAGAUACCCUGGUAGUCCACGCCGUAAACGAUGGGUGCUAGGUGUUAGGCCCUUUCCGGGGCUUAGUGCCGGAGCUAACGCAAUAAGCACUCCGCCUGGGGAGUACGACCGCAAGGUUGAAACUCAAAGGAAUUGACGGGGGCCCGCACAAGCGGUGGAGCAUGUGGUUUAAUUCGAAGCAACGCGAAGAACCUUACCAGGUCUUGACAUCCCGAUGCUAUUCUUAGAGAUAGGAAGUUACUUCGGUACAUCGGAGACAGGUGGUGCAUGGUUGUCGUCAGCUCGUGUCGUGAGAUGUUGGGUUAAGUCCCGCAACGAGCGCAACCCUUAUUGUUAGUUGCCAUCAUUAAGUUGGGCACUCUAGCGAGACUGCCGGUAAUAAACCGGAGGAAGGUGGGGAUGACGUCAAAUCAUCAUGCCCCUUAUGACCUGGGCUACACACGUGCUACAAUGGUCGGUACAACGAGUUGCGAGCCGGUGACGGCAAGCUAAUCUCUGAAAGCCGAUCUCAGUUCGGAUUGGAGGCUGCAACUCGCCUCCAUGAAGUCGGAAUCGCUAGUAAUCGCGGAUCAGCACGCCGCGGCGAAUACGUUCCCGGGCCUUGUACACACCGCCCGUCACACCACGAGAGUUUGUAACACCCGAAGUCGGUGAGGUAACCUUCUA
This 809-nucleotide ribosomal RNA is filed under the name uncultured bacterium. RNAcentral's name for it is "bacterial SSU rRNA". It matches the Rfam family "Bacterial small subunit ribosomal RNA", at positions 636 to 1444 of the family's 1533-position model. The record is from RNAcentral.